UGAGGAAUAUUGGUCAAUGGCCGGAAGGCUGAACCAGCCAAGCCGCGUGAAGGACGAAGGUGCCAAGCAUUGUAAACUUCUUUUUGUCAAGGGACAAAAAUCAGGCUCGAGAGCCUGACCGAGGGUACUUGAAGAAAAAGCAUCGGCUAACUCCGUGCC
RNAcentral lists this ribosomal RNA (159 nucleotides) under uncultured bacterium. RNAcentral's name for it is "partial 16S ribosomal RNA". It matches the Rfam family "Bacterial small subunit ribosomal RNA", at positions 355 to 509 of the family's 1533-position model. The record is from RNAcentral.